AUUGAACGCUGGCGGCGUGCCUAACACAUGCAAGUCGAGCGGUAACAGGUGUAGCAAUACAUGCUGACGAGCGGCGAACGGGUGAGUAAUGCUUCGGAAUCUACCUUAUGGUGGGGAAUAACUAGCCGAAAGGUUAGCUAAUACCGCAUACGUCCUACGGGAGAAAGCAGGGGAUCGCAAGACCUUGCGCCAAAAGAUGAGCCGAAGUCGGAUUAGCUAGUUGGUAGGGUAACGGACUACCAAGGCGACGAUACGUAGCUGGUCUGAGAGGACAACCAGGCACACGGGGGCUGAGACAGGGCCCGUACUCCUACGGGAGGCAGCAGGGGGGAGUAUUGGACAAUGGGGGAAACCCUGAUCCAGCGACGCCGCGUGUGUGAAGAAGGCCUGCGGGUUGUAAAGCACUUUUAGUGGGGAUGAAAUGUGCAGGGUUAAUACCUCUGCAUUUUGACCUAACCCACAGAAAAAGCACCGGCUAACUCUGUGCCAGCCGCCGCCGUAA
Molecule: ribosomal RNA, 502 nt
Filed under: uncultured bacterium
Lineage: Bacteria
Description: partial 16S ribosomal RNA
Rfam family: Bacterial small subunit ribosomal RNA
Source: RNAcentral